RNAcentral lists this ribosomal RNA (253 nucleotides) under uncultured bacterium. RNAcentral describes it as "partial 16S ribosomal RNA". It matches the Rfam family "Bacterial small subunit ribosomal RNA", at positions 524 to 776 of the family's 1533-position model. The record is from RNAcentral.
UACGAAGGGGGCUAGCGUUGCUCGGAAUCACUGGGCGUAAGGCGCACGUAGGCGGCUUUCUAAGUCAGGGGUGAAAUCCUGGAGCUCAACUCCAGAACUGCCUUUGAUACUGGGAAGCUCGAGUCCGGAAGAGGUGAGUGGAACUCCGAGUGUAGAGGUGAAAUUCGUAGAUAUUCGGAAGAACACCAGUGGCGAAGGCGGCUCACUGGUCCGGUACUGACGCUGAGGUGCGAAAGCGUGGGGAGCAAACAGG